GAGGGAUGGUGGAUGGAUAGGGUGAUAGGGAAGGUGGGGAAGGUGGGGAUGAAGAUGAUGGAGGUUGGGUGACAGGGGAAUUGGAAUUUGGAGUUGGGGCAUAGGGGUAGGGUGAUUGAGAUGUUGGGGAAGGAGUGUUUGGAGGUGACGGAAUGUAGGGAGGUUGGGAAAUGGGAGAAGGAGUGGUGGAUGGUGGUGUGGAAAUGUAAGAAGGUGGCUGGGAUAUUGGGGAAGGAGUGGUGGAUGGUGGUGUGGAAAUGUAAGGUGGCUGGGAUAUUGGGGAAGGAGUGGUGUUUGGAGGUGAUGGGAUGUAAGGAGGCUGAGAUAUUGGGGAAGGAGUGUUUGGAGGUGAUGGGGUGUAAGGAGGCUGGGAAGUAGGAGAAGGAGUAUUGGGUUGUGGAGGCACAUAAGGUGACUGAGAAAAGGGUGAUGGGGUUAUUGGAACAAAGGGUGGUUGAUGAUGAGGGGAAGGGGUGUUUGGAGGUAGAGGAGCAUGGGGUGGAUGGUUAUUAGGGGAAGGAGCAUAAGUGGGAGAAGGUGUGUUGGGAGGUAUGGGAGCAUAGGGUGGUUGAGCUUUGGGAGGAAAGGGAAGAUUAGUAGGAGGUGAAGGUGCUUCUGGAGGAGUAUAAACAGGGGGAGGAGUUUGAUGAGGUGGAUAAGGAGCUUUUGGAGGAGAAUAUGGAGGAGGCUCUCUCACAGCCAACACCACAAUAAUAAGUUUCUGACCCUUCUCACAAUUAUAAUCUUUUCCACUGAUGAAAUAAAAGGGACCCGAACGAUCAAACUGAAACUGGGAGGCACCAUCCUCAAACUUCUUGAUCGGGUUCUUCUUGUUACAUUUCUCAUAAUCCUCUUUGUUCACCACCAAAACCGAGUCCGAUCC
RNAcentral lists this long non-coding RNA (883 nucleotides) under Phaseolus vulgaris (common bean). RNAcentral's name for it is "long non-coding RNA (PVUL_LNC002969)". The record is from RNAcentral. Lineage: Eukaryota; Viridiplantae; Streptophyta; Magnoliopsida; Fabales; Fabaceae.